RNAcentral lists this ribosomal RNA (660 nucleotides) under Dientamoeba fragilis. RNAcentral describes it as "partial 18S ribosomal RNA". It matches the Rfam family "Eukaryotic small subunit ribosomal RNA", at positions 704 to 1382 of the family's 1831-position model. The record is from RNAcentral. Lineage: Eukaryota; Parabasalia; Tritrichomonadida; Dientamoebidae.
AAUUUAAAUUUUUUAAAUUAAAAUUUAGUUUUUAUUUUAUAAAAACGUUCACUGUGAACAAAUCAGAACGCUUAAAGUAAUUUUCUUUAUUGAAUGAUUUAGCGCAGUAUGAAAUUUUUACUUUUUAAAUUUUAAUUAAUUUAACAAGUAAUAUCAAAGAGAAUAAUCGGGGAUAGAUCUAUUUCAUGGCGAACAGCGAAAUGUUUUGACCCAUGAGAGAGAAACGAAGGCGAAAGCAUCUAUCAAGUGUAUUUCUAUCGAUCAAGGGCGAGAGUAGGAGUAUCCAACCGGAUCAGAGACCCGGGUAGUUCCUACCUUAAACUAUGCCGACAAGGUUUUGUUUUUUUUAAUAAAAGCAGUACCAUAGGAGAAAUCAUAGUUCAUGGGCUCUGGGGGAACUACGACCGCAAGGCUGAAACUUGAAGGAAUUGACGGAAGGGCACACCAGGGGUGGAGCUUGUGGCUUAAUUUGAAUCAACACGGGAAAACUUACCAGGACCAGAUAUUUUUAAUGACUGAUCAGGCUAUAGGUCUUUCAGGAUAUGAUUUUUGGUGGUGCAUGGCCGUUGGUGGUGCGUGGGUUGACCUGUCUAGCGUUGAUUCAGAUAACGAGCGAGAUUAUCACCAAUUAAAUAUAUAAAUAUUUUUAUUAAAAUAAUU